CCCCAUCCACUCACUGGUUAUCCCUGGGCUCCUCCCUCCCAGAGCCUAUUCUUGGUGUGCGACCCUCCAGAUUUUCCAUCAGCUGGCUCAGGAAAAGUGGAGGAAUGACAGCGCGGGCUACACACACUCUUAAUAACAUCCCACAGACUUUUUCCAAAGCCACGUACAUGUUCAAAUACAAACAUAAGCCCUCUGUCAGUCUUUUAAAUAUAAAACAUUUUGGGUUUGAGGAUUUCACCAACAGUCGUUUUUCAAGACCACCCUCCAGGCCCAGCAGGGCUGUAGUUCAGACGUGCAGAGAAGCGUCAUGAAAGUGACGUCAUUCCAGAGUUCCCGUCAUGUGGAAGCCAGAAAGGAUGUCAUACUUUUUACUCCAUUUCCCCCCUCCUGACUUUUGUCUGACUGGCACACACUCACACACUCACGUGGAGGUCAGCAAGAAACAAUAUAGAUUUAGGGGGAUGUCUGAGUGUGUGGUAAACACGUGCAGAAGGUGUGGGCUGUGAAUGUCCCAAUGACAGUGCUGGAGGAGUCACUGAGAAACACUCGCCAUGAUCUUGGCACAGAGAGCGUUGGGCCUGUGCAAAACACAUCCAGGAGAUCACCUUAAAAGGAGGGGGACUCUUCACUGUUAUCAGAAGCCAGAGGAGCUGCUUCUAUCCCAGCUGGUUCCGCCUCAUCCUACAGCCUUCCUCUGUUUUCUUUGACUAGUCACCUACUUGUAUGUGAUUUCAUUGUCUACAAUGGGUGUGCGGGAUUUCUUUGUUUGAUUCCUGUGGCCACCAACAUGUAAAAUACAUGCCCACAUGACUGCACAUCUCUUUGGAUAAAAGCCUCUGUUAAAUGGUAUAUACCAUCAUUGUGUCAUUUUUCACAGACAAGAAAUUACUUUAGACAUAUUGAAUAUUUUAUUGCUGCUCAAAGUUAUAUAUCCAGUGAAGUGGAAGCUGACAAGACAACCCAGUGACUCAGGCAAGAGGCUAUGUCUAGUAGAGUGAUGGCGAAAUAGAAAAUUAUGUUUUUUCAAAAAAAGUUAAAUGUCUUGUGUAGCACUUGACUGCUGUCAAUAACGUAAGUCACUCUGGAUGAGAACGCCUGUUGACUUAAACGUAAAUGUUAAAAAAGCUUGUUAAAAAGGUGCAUGCAUCCUGUUAAAUAAAAGCCAUACACCUUUAUUGAUUGUAACAGUAAGAACCAAAACACAAGUUGAUCAGGAGAGCACACUUUUUCCAUGACUUGUGUCCUUUUGAUCUCAUCCUAAUUUUAGGAUACUGUGUCACUUGUGUCACUGUGUCACUUCCUGGCACUGCAGGUUGCCGUGCCAAUAAGAUCCAAUGCCGUCUCUCCCUCAUUUAGAGCACAAACACCUGUUUGUUGUUAUUGCCCUCACCUGUGUUCCUGAUCACUGUCCCUAUUUAAAAAAAGGACAGUCCAUUUAGAAUUUCUUCCUUUCACAGUGGCUCAGGUCAGUCUUUGUUUGAUUUCUACACCAAUGUGAUGUUGUGGUGUUUUUGUGUGUUUAUUUCAGUUUUGUUUUUAUUAAAUGUUCUUUUUAUUAAAUGUUCUCAUUUCUUCCUGCCUCAACUCUUCAAUGUUACACACUGGGUUUAGAAAAUGUUUGAUAAAAUGGUGUGUUCUGUGCCAGAACAUUUAAGCAGUAACAUGUAUACAUUUUAUCUAUGUGGUUUGGAGGAAAU
This is a long non-coding RNA of Esox lucius (northern pike), 1697 nucleotides long. NCBI's taxonomy places the organism in Eukaryota, Metazoa, Chordata, Actinopteri, Esociformes, Esocidae. The record is from Ensembl.